AAAGCGAUGAAGGACGUGGCCAGCUGCGAUAAGCUCGGACGAGACGCUUACAGUUUUUGACUCCGAGAUCUCCGAAUGGGGAAACCCAGCAGAGGUAACGCUCUGUUAUCCGUGACUGAAUUCAUAGGUUGCGGAAGCGAACGCGGGGAACUGAAACAUCUUAGUACCCGCAGGAAAAGAAAUCAACCGAGAUUCCGUUAGUAGUGGCGAGCGAACGCGGAUUAGCCCAAACCGACGCUUUUUAGCGGCGGGGUUAGAGGGGCCUCAUAAAGGUAUAAUAAUCUUAGACGAACGGCUUGGAAAAGUCGGCCAUAGAAGGUAAUAGCCCUGUAUUUUAAAAGGUUGUUAUACCGAGAGGAUUCCCUGAGUAGGACGGGACACGAGAAAUCCUGUUUGAAUUCGGGUGGACCAUCAUCCAAGGCUAAAUAUUCUCUGGAGACCGAUAGUGAACCAGUACCGUGAGGGAAAGGCGAAAAGAACCUCAAGAAGAGGAGUGAAAUAGAUCCUGAAACCUUACGCCUAAAAGCAGUGGGAGCCCUACGUUUGAAGCUUGCUUCAAAAACGGGUGACCGCGUGCCUUUUGCAUAAUGAGCCAACGAGUUA
RNAcentral lists this ribosomal RNA (603 nucleotides) under Ctenophora environmental sample. RNAcentral describes it as "partial Bacterial large subunit ribosomal RNA". It matches the Rfam family "Bacterial large subunit ribosomal RNA", at positions 43 to 630 of the family's 2925-position model. Lineage: Eukaryota; Metazoa; Ctenophora. The record is from RNAcentral.